This 267-nucleotide unclassified non-coding RNA is filed under the name Hevea brasiliensis (rubber tree). Lineage: Eukaryota; Viridiplantae; Streptophyta; Magnoliopsida; Malpighiales; Euphorbiaceae. The record is from RNAcentral.
GAUGGCAUCACACAAUGUCAAACCUUCAUGAAAUCAGUCUCUUUAAAUAGUCAGGUGAACAUCUGUUAGAUUCAAUAGAAAAAAAAAAAUCAAAUUUACAGAAGUUAUGUGCCUAUUAAAGCUGUUCAGCUGAAGAGGGCUUCAGCAAAACCGAAGUCCCAAGAAUACUUGGCACUUCGGUCCAAAUCAGACAAUAAACCAAUAUAAUAGAUGCUAUAGGCGCUGAUUCUAAACAUUUUUACAGGCCCUAAAAUUCAUUAGAUUGGU